CCCCGCCCCAGUUCCCUGUCUGUGAGCCGAUUUCUCUGCCCAGGGUCGGCGCGCGCGGCUGUCUCAGAACUCAUGCAGCUGUUCCCGCGAGGCCUGUUUGAGGACGCGCUGCCGCCCAUCGUGCUGAGGAGCCAAGUGUACAGCCUCGUGCCUGACAGGACCGUGGCCGACCGGCAGCUGAAGGAGCUUCAAGAGCAGGGGGAGAUCAGAAUCGUCCAGCUGGGCUUCGACUUGGAUGCCCAUGGAAUUAUCUUCACUGAGGACUACAAGACCAGAGUCCUCAAAGCCUGUGAUGGCCGACCGUAUGCUGGGGCAGUGCAGAAAUUUCUAGCUUCAGUACUUCCAGCCUGUGGGGACCUUAGUUUCCAGCAGGACCAAAUGACACAGACCUUUGGCUUCAGGGACUCAGAAAUCACGUGAGACUUGUGGAACCAACAAAGUCAGGCAUCUGGUGCUUCCCUGCCUCCCUCCAGUUCCAUCCAGCCUGUCCUUCUGUGUUUUUGGUGAACCUGCCAGAAAAGCUGCCAAAAAGCUGACUCUUCUUUUUAAUGAAAUGACCCAAGUUUGUAUUCCUCCCCACAAGAGAGGAGGCCUGUCUUACCUGGGGCCUUAGAAAGAGUCCUGGAAUAGAAUUCAGUUCUUGGUGGCUUAUCAAAAGCACACAGGGACCUGGCAGGAACUGUAAAAGCUUGAUGUUAAUCAUACUGGGACUAAGAGGAUAGAGA
This 725-nucleotide small RNA is filed under the name Pongo abelii (Sumatran orangutan). RNAcentral describes it as "retained intron". The record is from RNAcentral. Lineage: Eukaryota; Metazoa; Chordata; Mammalia; Primates; Hominidae.